Long non-coding RNA from Anopheles arabiensis, 2505 nucleotides. RefSeq lists it as uncharacterized. Lineage: Eukaryota; Metazoa; Arthropoda; Insecta; Diptera; Culicidae. The transcript has 7 exons. The record is from RefSeq and is a predicted model, not a curated record.
UUUAAUAAAUUGAAAAAGUUUAACGAGAUUUAAAUUUAAACUUAUUAACUGUCAGUCUAUUUGAUGUCAAUAACGGUAAAUGUCAGGUUUAAACAAGCUGUCCAAAAAAUUUAAAUGUCAACUUUAUACGACGUUGUGUAUUAAAAGUUUUAAUGUCAAUCGAGUCUAACGGUUUUAUUAUGUAUGGAAAACAAGGUAAUAGUUUAAAUAAAUUUAAAUGAAUAUUAGUUCUUUAUGGAUCUGAAAGGGUUGCUUUAACUGGCCGUGAGGCUUUUCAAAUUUUAAAAGUUGUUGUUAUUAAUCGUAUGAUAUUGAGAAUUAAUUAUGAAAAUUAAAUUAUUAAUUGUGGGUGUAGGCAAUCAAAUUUAAAUGGAUAAAUUAUAACGAAGGUUUUUAAUAGCCCUUGAGCAAAAACGAGUCUUAUUUAAUGAGAAUAUUUAAAUAGAAUUUUAAUUUAAUCGGUUGCAGCUGCCAAGAAUUUAAAUUAUAACUGUCAACCAAUUAAAGAUGUCAAAGUGACGUGAGGUGUCUGAUAAUAUUGUGCUGUCAAUUUGAUUCUGUGUCAACGUUCCCGGCAGGCAAAUGACAUUUCAUACUACGGCGAGGGGUGUUGAAACGCAUGGAAGAGCAGGAAGAAACACGGACGAGCGCUGAUGAACUGCAACUGUGUGCGUGCAACAGCACCAAACGGCAUGUGACGACGGACAGUGUGUGGAUGUGUGUGUGUGUAAUUUUAGGCAGCGAAGAUGGAUCGAGGUUAUGUUUACAAAGUGAAAGAGUUAGAUGCAGAAGCGUCUUUGUGAUAAACAUGAAUUUUAGUUGCAUAAUUUUAGUGUUAAAGUUUGUAAUGAGAACUUAAAAGUAAUGACUAAUGGUGCUAUUCACUUGUUGGCGAAUAUUGAAGCGUUGAAAUAUUGAAGCUUCCUAUGUUAGUUUGUUGUGCUUAGUGUGAAGCUCCUGCUGCAGCCUGGUGUUCAUCGUCGGUGAUCAUCAUUAUUGGUGACGAAGGCAGCACAGGUUCGUACACCGGAAACGUUCUGAUCACUUUUCCUGGUUAUAUUUUUAGGCAAAUUUAUCACAACAGGACCAGUUGCUCGUUCAGUCGUUAUGUACGAUGUACCGGCGCUUGUCGAUGGCACUUGGUUACCACCAUCAACUAUCUUGCCUGGCGGACGGAUCUGGCUAGGAACACAGAUUCUCUAGCAGCCGCUAUCACCGAUGCAGAAGCACUGGUGUGUAAUUGUUGUCUUACAACAGCGGACAUCAUACCACGCUGAUUCUUCGGAGCAUGAACUUCGACAAGCGAUGCAAUCGAUGGUACUGCAGAUCCCGCCAAUGUCUGUUGUCUACCGAUCUUCAUGCCUGAUUCCUGCGGUAGAGCAUCAGCAACCGGUACCACUGAUGGCGCAGCAGUACUAGUUGACGGUUGCUGUCCAUGUUGCUGGCCUAACGGACGGAAUGGUGCAGGAACACCAGAUGUUCAACAACACGGACUGGCAUUCUUUGUUGACUCGCGCUGACCGGCCACUGAAACCACCGAAGGCACUGCACUUGUUGUCGGAAGUUGUCCAACAACACGGACCGGCAAUCUGGGAGGACGGAUAGCACGAGGAAUGGCAACCGGAACCACCGAUGGCACUGCACUUGUCGUCGGAAGUUGUUCAACAACACGGCCUGGCGACGAAUAUCAGAUCGCAACUGCUAAUAAUUUCGUCGUCUGAGGCGGACUGUUAUGGAGGUACAAAAUCUUCAGUGAUGAUGAAUGCGUUCACGCUUCUACGAGCCGGUAAUUGGCGGUAUCCAGAUCAUCGUCGUACUGUUAGCUUACCUAAGCUACCGAAAUUAGCGACAGUGUAAAAUCUGUGCUGUGAGAAUUACAGCUGGCUCUCACAACCGUCCGGAAGUCGCAGUGAUUUGGUAACAUCAAGAUCAUCACCAUCGCACGAAGCGCAGCAUAUUGACGCAAGCCCAAGCGGACAGCAACCACCUGCAGCAAACGUACGCUGAACGAAUGGUCGUGGUAGAUGCGUUAGGAUUGCAAGGUGAUACUUGCGCUCUGAAAAUGCUAGCACAGAUGUUUGGGCCACAGAGGUGACGUUCCGAGAUUGUAAAACAUGCCGGGCCCACAGUUUCAGAUAAACCGUUCUCAUCAAUACCAUACCAUGUACGGUCGGCUAGUUACACUUCAUCACGAAGGACAAUCACAUCUGGGUGACGGAAUGCUGCCAAAACGAUGAAGCUGGCUGAGUCCUCGAUGACGACGCAACUCCUGCACGUUCGUCGUCAUACUAUCUUUUCAACUGGAGGCAUGUUUGUUUAGGCGGCUACAACAAAUUGUUUGAACAUGUUCAAUGAAACAAACAUGUUGUUUUGGCUUCUCACAAUUACUGGUGAAUGCUGGAAAUCUCCGUGAUAGCCGUUUUCGUGUGCUGAAUUAGGUUUGUAUGAAAAAUAGUGUAUUUUUAGAAUAUUUAAUUAUCAAUAAAAUAACGGUCGAUUUGAAAA